This is a long non-coding RNA of Ictalurus furcatus (blue catfish), 3478 nucleotides long. RefSeq lists it as uncharacterized. Lineage: Eukaryota; Metazoa; Chordata; Actinopteri; Siluriformes; Ictaluridae. The transcript has 3 exons. The record is from RefSeq and is a predicted model, not a curated record.
GUUGGACACACGAGGGCAGUCAAGCUCCAUCCAGCGCAACACACAACGCCGCCUGAAACAGAAGGUACAUCAAGGAAACGAGGGAACAAAUCCAGGACUGAAGAUGGUGCAUCCUCACCGACCACCUUCUGCCGAUACUGGAAAGUCGCUCAUCUUCUCUUUGACCACAGAUUCAUCAGUGGAAUAUCGUAUCGUAGAUAUCGCCUCCCUGCACUCCUCACCAAAUUGCUGUUGACAGAAUAACAGAGAUUCUCGUCUGGUUUUUGGACCAUCCUGAAGAACAGUCUUGGAAUGACACCGGGAGCCAGCACAGGUGUUACGUUGAACUGUCUUGAUCCUCCAUGCAAUGAAGCCACUAUUACCCUCAGGAUCAUAGUAGUGUUCCUGUUUAAGAAAAGACCCAAAGAGAGGCAUCUCGUGCUUGGCUUCAAGAAUGAAUUACUCAACACAGUAAGUUCACACAAUGACUAUAUAACACUACAAAAACAAGUGGAAAAUACAAAGCUGAGCAACCUAUAAACACUCAUCUAAAACAAGAUCAUUUUAACUUUAAAACUAUAAAAGGGAAGAAAAUAUAAAAACACACUGGUUUGGGUUUUCAGACAGAACUUACAUAUCCAUGUUUGGAGAAAGGAUCUUGGAGGUAUGGAAAAAGUGUCACAAUUCCCAGUGCAUAAUUCGUCUUGACGAUGGAAUCAUCCUUUCAAAUAAAUCAAUUUACUUUGCAAGCGUGUAUGUUUUGCAAGAAGUUAAAGGAUAAAUUCCCCUUUUAUAGCAACACAGAAUAGCAUUCUUUAGCUGCGCCACAUGAAUCUGUUGUGAUGACAAAGGGAGGGAAGUGACCUCCAAUUCUUACCCAUGUAGCUCUAACAUGUCUGCAACCAGGACGUUCACCAUCUGUUAGUGUUUUGGUCUUUUCAUACUCCUUGAAGAUUUCCUCACCCUUUGGAUUGGCCCUCAGAACACAAUCAACUUUCUGCCAAAACAUCUUACAUUGUUAUGACAUGCUCAUGGAAAUUUAAGAGGAUUUUUAAUGCCUUUCCUUUAUGCCGAGAAUACAUUUACAAAACACUUCUACAGAUAAGUAUCAAUAAUAAACAAUUACGUAAUUGAGGAUUUUAAAUGCAUUUAUUCAAAGCUUACCUGUCUUGCUUCAUUCUGGUCCAUUAACCCUGUUGGGUUCCUCCUCUUUCUUGUGGACUCCAGGACAAUUGUGGAAUCUGAUGAAUGGGAUGAAGCUGGGGAUAGUGGAGUCAGUACAGAGGAGGAUGCUUGAUCUGAGACCAGUUGAACAUCCAGAUGUACAAAAUCACAGACAGAACAAAAUCAAUUUAAAUGUACAUGUAUUUAUCAGUAACAAAAGCAUUUCAACAAAUACUUGAAUGGUUACAUAAAAAAAUAUAAAGUAUAUUAUCUUCAUUAAGUACUUUUUACGAAUAAGAUGUACUUAACGUAAUGAUCAAUAGUAUAGCAAAUGAUAAUAGUUUGAGGUCCCUCAAAAAGAUAUUUUAGACUCUGCUCCUAGGUAACUUCAUGUGUUCCCUACGUGGCCUCAUCUAUUUCACUCGAGAAUAUCCACAAAUAGGGAAGAAGAUUACAAAAAUAAAGGUAAUGUAUACAAUAAUUAUCGUGAACGGGUUUAAAAAAGGGGAGAGAGAGUAAUAGUAAUCAUGUAAUAUUUCUUGGCUAACUACCACAAACUUGGAACAGAAUACCCCUUCUGGGAAACUGCCGUUCCCGAGUUUGGACACACGAGGGCAGUCAAGCUCCAUCCAACACAACGCCGCCUGAAACAGAAGGCAGGUUUGGGCUAUUUUACACUGACGCAGCUCAUCAGCGUUAUUACUGUGCAUUGUCUAGUUUUCACGUAUCAAGGACAAUACACGGAGCUUCUGAACUGUUUAACAGCAUCAUCAUUAUGAUUUAAUUUUUAAAGAACGCACCCUCUUCUCUAGACAUGGAAAUGUUGGGUUUUUUAAGUUUACAUUGUCACACAGCAGCUGUACAGAUAUCUGGAUAUAUUAUUUCAGUGUCCAUUCUUAAACACGACAGAUGAACAAACAAAGAAACUAACCACAUGAAAAGGUUAGAUAGACCAAUGAUUAAAUACUACCCUGCUCAAAUGAAUACAGAGGCCAGCUCUGAUACCACAACGUUUAAAAACCUCGACAUUCGCGGCGUCAUAAAGGGAACAACCGUCAAGCAUACCAUCAGGAAACUUAUAGAACUCUGAACGUGACGUCAUAACAGAUCUUAUGGCUCGCUGCUCCGAUUUGACUAUAUAUGUCUGUGCGCGCGCCGGGGAGACUGACCUGGACACGGUAUAAGGACAGCACACAAACACAUUUAAAACAUAUUAACACAUUAACAUUAUAUCAUGUACAUAGCAGUAUAGUUAUCAUAAUAAAGUACACAAAUUUACUGCUAAUAGUAACAUUAUUAAUGUCUUUCUAAUCUCAUUAGUCAUUUCAUUCUCAUCACUGCUCCUACAUAACUUCAUGUGUUCCCUAGGUGGCCUCAUCUAUUUCACUCGAGAAUAUUGCUGGCUCAAAUUUAGCCUAUUACCUGAAGACACUUAAAAAUUCAACAUAGAAGCAAAUACUCACAUCUGCAAACCCAGUUGGAGAUAGAAAAAUAAGACAACAGCCGUGAGGGAGAAGAAGCAAGGUUCCAGAUUUAUUGGUUCCGUUCCACCACACGAGAUCCACACCGAUGAGAAUUCUCAGAAGUUAUCUAAAAAACCAGAGCUGAAGCUCUUCUAUUUAUACAGUUUUCUUAGGGUCAGGAUGACCCAGACACGAAUGUGUUUUAGAAAGAGCUUAUCAAAAUUACCAUUCUGUUUUAGAAAGGGCUCAUCAAAAUUACCAGUAUGUUUUGAAAAGAGCCUUUUCCAAACACCAUUAGGUUUGAAAGAGGUACGAGACACAACAUUUCGGAGAGACCUUGGUCUCACAGUUAUCUCGCGUGUGCAACGUGACUCAACUACCCUUAUAAAUGGCCCCUCUUGGUUCUCUCUUAAAAAUUAAGGCCUUCGUCUGUAUUACUCCUGACUUUUUCUCGUGAGACAAGACUCUUCCCCACCUCCAAGUAUAUUAUGAGCCUGUGUGUGUGUGUGUGUGUCUCUUAGUUGGCCGUCCACCUACGCUCUGAGGCCUGCCGCACUAAUCAAAUACAUGUAUGGUUUGCUGUGUGUUGUGUCUUAGGUAAACAUCCGUUCAUACAGUGCACCAGACCGGUGAAUUCUCAAUAAGAUUACAUAUUACUAAUACUAGGUCUCCCUCGUGUUUAUUUCAUGUAUAUUUUAUAUACAACAAUAUCCACAAAUAGGGAAGAAGAUUACAGAGAUGAAGGCUUAAAACGUGCUUGAAUGAUAAAAAGUCAAUAAAUACAAAAUCACUAAAUAACUUUAAAGGGUUUAUUUUCUAUAGAACAUGAAUACAAUCCUUUCACUCAAAAUAGGACUCCCCGCUGCAGACCC